This 63-nucleotide transfer RNA is filed under the name Cryptocephalus sp. CRY01. RNAcentral describes it as "tRNA-Glu". It matches the Rfam family "tRNA". Rfam says of the family: Transfer RNA (tRNA) molecules are approximately 80 nucleotides in length. The record is from RNAcentral. Lineage: Eukaryota; Metazoa; Arthropoda; Insecta; Coleoptera; Chrysomelidae.
AUUUAAAUAGUUUAAUUUAAAACAUUACAUUUUCAAUGUAAAAUUGGGGCAACUCUUUAAAUA